GCUGAUCCCAGCCUGGACUCUGAGCCCCGGGAGAUGUCUGGGCCGUGGCCCGUAGCUGGGGUCUUGGCCUCUGCCCGGGGUGGGGGAGUUCAGGGAAGCCACCCCCUCAGAGCGUCCCACUGGGCUGUCAGGAAGGAAGCGUGUUGUCAGGACAGCAAAGCCAGAAGGGCGCUCAGCGGGGUUAGGGGGUUGGGGGGGGUCUCCCCAGCUGUGCGGACUCAGCGCAAGUUCAUCCAGGGUGCCUCUCGUGAGGGAGGGAGCCAGCGUCGCGUUGCGGUGGAGAUUGAACCCAGGGCCUUCACACUGAGCUAUGCCGCCCUUCAUUUGGAGACAGGAUCUCACUAAGUGGCCCAGACAUUCAUCUUGCUGUCCCCUCCUUUCUGGAGUUAAGACAGCAAAGCCAGGGUGCUUAGGGAGGCUUCACACACGCAGGCCUGGCGGGGGACCACCAGCCCAGCUGGAGCCAAGCAAUGCCCAGCAGCAGAUGGCGCUGUCUCUGAAGACUCCUC
This 509-nucleotide long non-coding RNA is filed under the name Heterocephalus glaber (naked mole-rat). Its description in RNAcentral is "lncRNA (ENSHGLG00100033845.1)". The record is from RNAcentral. Lineage: Eukaryota; Metazoa; Chordata; Mammalia; Rodentia; Bathyergidae.